UACAGAGGGUGCGAGCGUUAAUCGGAAUUACUGGGCGUAAAGCGUGCGUAGGCGGUUACGUAAGUCAGAUGUGAAAGCCCCGGGCUCAACCUGGGAAUUGCAUUUGAGACUGCGUAGCUAGGGUGCAGAAGAGGGAAGCGGAAUUUCCGGUGUAGCGGUGAAAUGCGUAGAUAUCGGAAGGAACACCAGUGGCGAAAGCGGCUUCCUGGUCCAGCACCGACGUUCAGGCACGAAAGCGUGGGGAGCAAACAGG
RNAcentral lists this ribosomal RNA (253 nucleotides) under uncultured bacterium. RNAcentral's name for it is "partial 16S ribosomal RNA". It matches the Rfam family "Bacterial small subunit ribosomal RNA", at positions 524 to 776 of the family's 1533-position model. The record is from RNAcentral.